AUUUUUUUAAUCAUUUUUUCAUUUUUUUUUUAUUUUUCAGUGUGCCUCCUCUGCACAUUCAGGCCAACUGAUUUUACCGGACACCCUCAAAUUACUGCCCUUGUUUAUAUUAUCGCUAUUAAAACAUAACAUUGUUAAAAAGGAUAUCUUGCACGAUAUAAAAGUGUACAGCUUAAUAAAACUGUUGUCUAUGCCAAUCAUGCCAUCGCUUAUUUAUGUGUAUCCAAUACUUUACUUAAUACAUACAAAAGGCAAAAAAAAUGAAAUUGAUCAAAUGGAUAUUCAAGAUGAAUAUUUUAUACCUAAAACUGUACCAACAAGCGCAGAAAAAAUAUAUUCUAAUGCUAUAUAUUUACUUGAUGCCAGUACGCACUUUUAUUUGUAUUUUGGUUAUCAUUCGGACGUAGAUUUUACCAUAAACAUUGUUGGGGACACACCGACGGAGAGAAAUUGUCAUGAACUAAAUUUGACGGACUCAACCAAUGCUCAAAAAAUUCAGCGCAUUAUUAUGAACAUAACAAGAAUCCACCAUUUUAACAAAUUUGUGCCUUUGGUUAUAGUUCCCGCAAAGUAAGUAUUAUAUAUGAAUGCGAAAUGUGUCAUUAAAUUUUAUGUACCCGAACAAAUGCUUGCAUCUGUGUUUGAUGCAUAUUUUAUACGAUACCUAAGCUUUAAUGUAUAUACAUUGUUAAAACAAAAACAGUUGAAUUUUUCUUUUUUUUUUCUUUUUUUUUUCUUUUUUUUUUUUUAUGUUCUUACUUUUUGCUAUUUUUUUUUUUUUUUACUCGUUUACUUUUUUUCAGAUCGGCAAAUGAGCAACUUCUCAUGACAUUGUGUGUUGAAGAUAAGGCUGAUAAGGAAUAUAGUUAUGUUAACUUUUUAUGUUUUAUUCAUAAAUUAGUGCAUAAAAAAAUUGAUGAAUCGUAGAUGUGUUUUGUUACAAUUAAAACAUACGCUUUUCGCAAUACAUCCCUAUAUAUAUAUAUAUAUAUAUAUGCAUAA
Molecule: long non-coding RNA, 1002 nt
Filed under: Piliocolobus tephrosceles (Ugandan red Colobus)
Lineage: Eukaryota; Metazoa; Chordata; Mammalia; Primates; Cercopithecidae
Description: lncRNA (ENSPTEG00000010328.1)
Source: RNAcentral